AAGACAGAGAUGAGAAGUUCCAGCUGUUUGUACUCCUAUUUCAUUUUUAAACAUGGAUGGACAAGGGAGAGAAAAGCAAGGGGAGAGAAAAGAAAAGAUUUGGGGAUUGCAAAUGUUUAUGUGCCGGUAACACGCUGUUUUUCAGCUCCAAAAUAAUUCUCUGUUGUGUGGAAAUGAAGUGGUUUACCCAGCAGAAAAUAAGUGUUGCUGCUGUGUUGUUUUUGGCAGGAGUUGGUGGUUCAUCAUUUGGACACAUCAGGUACUUACUCUGUGGCUGUCGUGUAAUUUUAAAAUGACAGUGUUGCAAACGUUGACAAAAUUAUGGAGUAUUGAUUGGUGGUAGAAAAGUAGCAGGGCUGGGAACAUGCAUCUAUGCAGUACUGUUUUGAAAGUGAAUUGGAAAAGCACUUUUCUUUUUGCUAGUUUGUUUGCUGUGCUCGAUCUCCGAUUCACCAGGAGGGGAACUAGGAAAUUGUGGACUAUCUGGGAAUCUCCCUCUGUUGUGUUGGAUAUUGUAUCGCUAGCGUUUCCUGUUCCCAGCAAUUUUAAAGACUUCAGGAUGGGACACAGCUGUUUAGGCUGAACUUGGUACAGAGGCAUAAUGCCACUUCUUUAGUAAGUUCCUUGUAUUGCUGUUAAAAACAAAGGUCACUUCUACCUGUAGUGUCUUUCUAAGACAAAAAGAUGAUGCGCCUCUAAGCUUUCUGGUAUUAUUGAUACAUUUUAGUGUUGGCUGGUUUACUACUUGUUUCUUACUGAUCCUUGGGUUGGCAGUGACAUUGCAAAGCUGAACUCAGUAAAUGUAUUUGUUCUGAUUUCAGUGAAUUUUAGCUUUCUCUAAGCGUAACCAUUGUUAUGGUUCUUCUUCUACGUUUUCUGCACUACAGACAGUGCAUAGUGUAUGCUUAAGCAUCUGAAAAGUAUUAGAAAGUGUGGCUGUGGUGGCACAUGAGUAAUGCUACUGGCAAUAGAAGAAAACAACCUUUUGAAGGUCAGCUUACCACAAAUCCAGAAAAUAUUUGUCAUGCCCAGAGAAUUGAUCUGAAAUUUGAUCAAUCUGGGAGAACAAAUCACAGCAGAAAGCAUGCAUUAGAACUAUCCCUUACUGAAAUUCCCAGUGGAGUUUGUUUUAUGGAAGCAGACUUAAAUAUGUGUAUUAGUAACAGGCAUAGCGUGCUGGAAGGAAGCUUUGUAGAAUAUGUGCAACACAAAACAAAAUUCAGUGUACAAUGCAAGAGGCAUACAAGUGUAUUCUCCCUGCUCCCCACUGUCAUCCUCCCAGAGAUGGUAACACUGGAACUACAGAAAAAUGGCAGGGGCAGCAAAAAGAGUAACGUGUACAUCAGUGCUUCCAAGCAGACUAACGCUUUUCCUCUGUGCUGUGGAAAGCUGGCUUUAAAUAUGAGUAGUUAAAAACAUUAACCAUAUGAAACUGAUUUUGUACAUCUUAGUGGUAGUAUUUUAUAUUAUGUAACCAAAAAGAAAUGCUAACUAUAUCCUUAAGGGGACAGUAAAGCAGAAGGAACAGGAGUGACUAACUCCUAAGGGUUGCUGCUAGCUGCUAGCUCCUUGUAGUGCUAACUUGACCUGAAUUUAAGAAAAAAAUAAUAAUAAAAAAAAAAAAAUGAAGACUGUUUGUCAUAAAACUAAGUGUAUGUUGUAGUGCCAAUUAUUUUAAAAUAACAAAAACGAAAAAAAGAUGUCUUUUUGAGAAAGAGUAAAAGCCAUUGUAAAAGUAUUAGAUUUAUCUCAGGGUUUCUCUGGGUCUACAACAUACAAUUGUUUUCAUUGUUUAUAGGUCAGGGCAAAGGGGCGAGGAAACCUUUGUCCUAUAGCUGUGCCAAUGCAUGUAACGAAGUCAGUGUCUACAUAAACUGAGAGAAGGCAAAACCCAAAUAAAAAGCUUUGUCUGGUAUUACUGGUGAUACCUAAGGUUACCAGUAAACAACAAAAGGUACUUCUACAAAACAGAGAGCUUGCACAGGUCUUUUCCCCUGAAUAGCAAAUAAGGCAUAACCCUAAACCUGGCAGAUCUGCUCUGCACCUAUUGAACCAAUUUUGGCUUUCACAGUUCGCGCUAACAUGAGUUGGAACAACUGUAAUAUCUGUAGAGCAGAGGAGGAGGAAAAAAAUCUGCUGUAGUAUUCGGUUUGAAAUUAUUUUCAGCCAGAAUGCUGAAUUUAGUACACAGUACAAUUCCUCCUAAACAAAGGGGGAUAGCUUGGAAAGGAAGGAGACGAGCAACAUAGCUUAAGAGAAAUUUCAAGUGCAGCUGUAUAAACUGAAUAUUACUUUUGCUCCUGCUGUUUACCUAUAAUAAUUAUUGAAGAAACAAGUCUAGGUAAUUUAUCCCUUUCUUCUGCUAUUUUUUUUCUACUCACCUUUAUUCUAAGAAUUUCUAAUCAAUAGCUCUAUUUUGUCUUUCAUCCACAGUAUUGAAGGACAGAGCUUCUAUGCAAAAUUAAAAGCGGUGUAAAUCCACAGCAAUUGUUAGGAUUGGCUGUUGAUUACUUGCCCGACAGUAAUGAUUUCAUUAGCUCCUAGCAGUAGGCCUUCGUUCUGGGGUCAGCCAUGGCUAAGUAGUGAUGUGUAAGCUCUAUUGUGCUAACGUAGCCUCAAAAUCUCCAAAUCAAACACAGCUUUAUCCCAGUUCUCUCAUUUUUUUUUUUUAAUUAGCUAAUAUGUAUUGGGCUUUUUUCUUUUUCAUCCCCUUGCUUUCUCGGAUGAGCUCAGAUGAUCUUUGAUACUUGCAUUUGCUUGCUCUGCGAUUGGAUCACGUGAACUCAAACCCAUGGGGCUCCGAAACAAGAGCAGCAGCAAAAGAUGAAGAUUGCAGUAAGGUAGAAAGGACAUAUGUUUGCCGAUAGAUCGCUCUGGUUUUGAUGUGGCGAGCAUCAACGUGUAAAGAUAAAGUAGCAGUGGCGUUUUCAACACCAUGCUGCAGAAGUAGACAAUGUGAAUCUUAUUGCUUGGUUUAUGAUUAUGCAGUAUUGCUUUCAGAAGCUCACUUGUUGGUCUGUGGUCUGCUAUGGCAGGCAUGUCCAACCUGUGGCCCAGCACAUCUCGCGUUGUGGCUGCCCCUGCUCUACGCCAUCAUGGCAGCAGCUCUUCCUGUCUUGUGCCCAGCUCCAACCAAACAUUGGUGUGAUGCAAACCCCUUAUGGUGAGAAACCGGGGCACGGGGAAGGUGCGGUGCAGUGCCAACUCUUAUGGUAAACUUAUGGCGAGUAAGUUUUAGAGCUUCGCUAAGUCCUGUGAGCAGCGAAGAACUCACAGCCGUGCUUUCCAUUUUGAUAAAGGAAUUUGAGUUUUAAGAUUGCUGAAAAAAUCAUCCAUUUUUUUGGUUCAUUUACAACUCUAUUUUCAGUCGACAUAAAUUAAUUAUUUGUGAAUUUUCAAAUGGAAUAUUUUAUCUCUUCACCAAACUUUCCUAAGUCCUCUCUUACCAGAGGGAAACAUCCCUCAGUUAUAGCAGAAUAGCAUCUGACGUGGAAAUGCGUACGAAGCAAAGGUUGAAUUCUCCCCUGUAGAAAAAAAUGUCACCCGUUGAUGCUCAUACACUUACUGAAUGUGUAUGGAGACCAAACAGUGGAUGUGAGCACGGUGAGGCGGUGAGUGGUGUGUUUCAGCAGUGACAACAGGGACAGUGGAUCAUCUCUGUUAAUCUCUGUUGAAAAAUCUGGUACAGAUUAAGUGUGGAAUGUGGGCUUUUGUUCAUCACUGGCAAAAAUGCACAGCUAACGGGAGUUGACAACGUGGAAAAAUAGUGAUUUGUAUUUGGGAAUUUGCUCCAUCAAAUAAUGUUAUUGUGCUCUUUGUAUCUGCUUUGGUUUCCGUGGAAAUACACGUAGGUCACUCCUACAAAAGUAAUGUCUCCUGUAUACGUGGCCCAAGGCAUUUCCUCUUCACUCACUGUGGCUCAGGCAAGCCAAAAACGUUGGACACCCGUGUGCUAUGAUCUCCUUCACAGCCUCCUGCUUUCACAGAAGCACUCUGGGGGCUAUUUUUAGCUGAACGUAAUGAUUGCUGUAGCUGCUAUUCCAGUACUUCACGUUGGUGUGGAUUGGGUUUUCGUGUUGCUUGCAUUUAUUUUUGAGAGGGCUUUAAAUCUUGUUAGAGGAGAUAACUUGGCCUUUCACGUACUGUAUCUUGAUCUGAAGACGUGAAGAUCUUGCAGAGCAGUAAAAAAGAAGUCCUAACUUAAGUGAAGCACUUGAUCAUUUAUGAAUCAAUUAAUGGGUGUGAUUGGCUAGCUUCCCGUGGCACAACUGUAUACCACUUGCUUCAUACAUCAGAUGCAUUUUCUAUAUAGUAAAUUGUAAAAUCUGAAAGCUUUUACUCAGUUUUUAGGCACAAAAUGUUAUUUUUGUAUUAAAUAUAAGGGUAAGAUUUUGUCUUAAAAUACAAAUCUAGUUGUCUUGUAACGGCAAUUGGUUCUGACUAGAUUUCUUUGCCUUAAAAGGGAACUUAGAGUCAUAGUGUAAGAACCUUCUUGAUUGGCCAUCUAGCUAUGGGAAAUAUAAACUGCUUCAUACAAAUACUACUCUUCUCAAUUUUUAUAUGAAUUUUCAGAGGCUCUACCUAAGUGUUAAGCUUCCUUUAUAGAAGCGCAGGCAAUAAAAUAGUUGCUGCUGCCAGCUUGUAUGCCUGAAAGCUCAGGGUUUUUUGUCCUAACUGUAUGAGGUGUUUUUUUUUUGUUGUUUUUUUUAAUAAAAAAUAUUAACUUUUUACACAAACUUGUCUGACAUAGAGGAGAAAAAUAUCUUUCACUUGAAAUAAAAUAUCAGUUAUAUUUAAUGAUUAAAACAAAUCAUUGUAAGGGAAGACAGAAGGCAACUGGAAGAAAAAUCUGGGGAGCGGCAAGCUGUAAAAGCCCCUGGUUUCUCACCGUUCUGAAAAUGGAUCUUAGUUUUCUUGGUAGAACUGAGUUUUCAAGAGUAGUUGCAAGUAGCAAAUUUACAAAGUAUUCAAUAGAGUUUAAAUCUUGUUCUAUUAAAUACCAAAUAAAUCCUAAACUAAACAGUAAAUGGUUUGCAGCUGAGCGAUGCCUCAUCUUUCAAAAGCCCCGAUCACUGAAGCUAGAGGAGCUCAAUAAGCAUUAACCGAUUCUUAGUGGGUAAAUGGAAACUGCGAAAGCAAAAGGUGGCGAGAAGUAUUUGAGGGCUUUGCUUGUGUAUGCACAAGGGUGGAGCCGUUUUGCAGUAUGUCAGGGGAAGAAGAUGGAGCUGUGAGUGAUGCUUGCAGUACAGCUUGAUGGCACUGCACAGGCUUGGAAUACUUCAGAGCUUCAAAACCACUUGUUUUCGUGCUUCCAUACUUUGGGAUCUACAAAUGAAGAGAAUCUGUCAGUCGGAUUGUACACAGUGCUCUGGAUCGAAAACAAGGAGAUGCUCACAGAGGUGGUGUAUAACCCUCUCCAUAGACGCUCAAGGUAAGACUGGAUGGGGAUCUGAGCACUCUGAGCUGUGAGUGUCCCUGUUCGUUGCGGGGAAGUUGGACUUGAUGCCCUCUGUAUGUCCUUUCCAAUUCAAACAAUUCUAUGAUUUUAAGUGUUAAGUAUGUUACCUGGCCAAGAUUAGGGUUAGCUCUCUAGAGGCAGAAGAGGAGUAUGCUAGGCAAAAGUAACACCCUUAACGGUUGCGGGCUUUUAAGGGUUUCAACCGUGCAUGUUCAUAAAGUGGAUCAGAAAGGUCCAGCCAACCAGAUAAGCUGUCAGCAAGGGUUUCUUUAAUCUGAGGUUCUCUUUUCUUGGAAAAUUUCUUAACAAAAAGAAAGAACACUAAGAGCGUUCAGCCUUGGAAAUUAUAUUUCACCAUGUGAGUGACAUCCAUGUUGUUAAAGCAUGCCUCAAAUUUGCCAAUCGUCGUCUUCAUCGUAAAAAUUCAUGCUAUUAUGGAUAUAUAGAGCAUACAGUGUGAUAAUAUCUUGCUUCUUGCAGCUCAUGCGUUGUCUCCCCAGAAGUAUAUCUGCAACCACCUGAGAGCCCAAGCCUGUAAGAUCUGAAACCUUUUGCAUGGUAUCUGAUUGGCUGAGGGACCUGAGAGGUCACCUGUGCAGCUCAAUUUCUCUCCGCUUCACAAGCGGAGGUGUGUGCAUGAAAAACCUUGCCUUCCUUUUUUUGCAGCUGUGAACUAAAAAUAUUUGGCAUAGGUAAAGCUUCUGCCUUGUAUUUUUCAGUUUCCUCAUCGAGGUGCUUUCCUCCUUCUCUAACUUCAGCUGCUCCAAAGGAUGCAAGGAACAAAACGGUCUGCAAAUGCUUCUCUCCGCUGACACUAGCAAGAGCUGUCAUUGGGCAAGAGGAGGAGAAACGAGACUGGAGAAAAUAAGAGAUAAAAUGACAUCAUUCUGUAGGAAAGUGAAGAGAGGGAGAGAGAGAGAACUCCUUGGCUAACAAAUCCCAAGACGCAGAGCAUGCUCAGUGAGACUAAACAUAGCCCUGGGUCAAGGAGAUGGAACUAUAGGUGCCAGGCUGCUAACGAGGAUUGCAGCCAAAAAAUAUUAAUUUCAAAAGUAAGAGUGGAUAAGUAGCUUUUGCAACUGAUGUUUUUCUAUGUGAUGCCAGCCUAUAGACUCAUGUUGGAAAUGUUAUAUAGCUGUGAGCAGGUGCAACUGAUGAGCAGAUCAGUGCAUCCAUUGAAAAGCCUGAAGAACACAGAGGUAGAGCGGAGACGAGAGAUACUAUGGGCUAAAACAGGAACCACAACUUAAUGAAUGAGAAAUUCCACAUCCUGGGACAAGUUUUGAGAGAGCGCAUACUCUCCCAAGUUAUCCCCAAAUGAAGAGACCCAAUUAGAUGUAUUGCAGCCUUCGACAUACUGACUGCAUCGCAACCUUGCACACGUUUGCAUGCCUUUACAUGCACUUAAACAGGUUUGAACGCAUUUGAAGGCCUUUACACGCAUAAGCAAACAGUUGCAUGCCUUUGCACAACUUUGCACAUUUGCACACACCUAUAUGCCUUUGCACACAUUUACACAUUUUUGCACUCAUUUGCACACACAUAAGUGCCUUUGCACGCUCUUGUAUGCUCUUACACGAAUUUGCAUGCUCUUACACAUUGUUGCACGCCCUUACAUGCUCUUGCACGUUCUUACAUGCAAUUGCACGCCCUUACAUGUGAUUGCAUACUCUUAAACACUGUAGCACGCUCAUACACUCUCCCACACGCUACUGCAUGGUUUUACACGCUGUUGCACGCCACUGCAUGCUGUUGCACACCGUUGCAAGCUGUUACACGCUCUUACACGCUGUCGUACUCUGUUGCACGCUCUUACAGGCUGAUGCACACUGUUGCACGCUCUUGCAAACCGUUGCACAUUGUUGCACACCCUUACACGCUCUUACACGCUACUGAACACGGUUGCACACUG
Non-coding RNA from Meleagris gallopavo (turkey), 7370 nucleotides. Lineage: Eukaryota; Metazoa; Chordata; Aves; Galliformes; Phasianidae. The record is from RefSeq and is a predicted model, not a curated record.